This 234-nucleotide long non-coding RNA is filed under the name Pan troglodytes (chimpanzee). RNAcentral's name for it is "lncRNA (ENSPTRG00000053394.1)". Lineage: Eukaryota; Metazoa; Chordata; Mammalia; Primates; Hominidae. The record is from RNAcentral.
GGGAGAUUACCACCCAAAGUUGUGCUGAUACUAAAAUGAAAGAGCUGUGUGGUUUCCACUUUGGACAGAUCUUAUAUUUCUGUCCCAGAGGACCCUGGAGGGUGGGUGCAGGGGCUUUCUUCCUAACCUCAGUCUGAGCCUGGGAUCUUGCUCCUCCUGCCUAAACUGCCUCAUGGAACAGAAUGUCAGCGAACAGAAAGCCCUGGGGCUUCUAGACUUGAGCUGGAAAUUAGA